GAUGAACGCUGGCGGCGUGCCUAAUACAUGCAAGUCGAGCGAACAGACGAGGAGCUUGCUCCUCUGACGUUAGCGGCGGACGGGUGAGUAACACGUGGAUAACCUACCUAUAAGACUGGGAUAACUUCGGGAAACCGGAGCUAAUACCGGAUAAUAUAUUGAACCGCAUGGUUCAAUAGUGAAAGACGGUUUUGCUGUCACUUAUAGAUGGAUCCGCGCCGCAUUAGCUAGUUGGUAAGGUAACGGCUUACCAAGGCGACGAUGCGUAGCCGACCUGAGAGGGUGAUCGGCCACACUGGAACUGAGACACGGUCCAGACUCCUACGGGAGGCAGCAGUAGGGAAUCUUCCGCAAUGGGCGAAAGCCUGAAGGAGCAACGCCGCGUGAGUGAUGAAGGUCUUCGGAUCGUAAAACUCUGUUAUUAGGGAAGAACAAAUGUGUAAGUAACUAUGCACGUCUUGACGGUACCUAAUCAGAAAGCCACGGCUAACUACGUG
Molecule: ribosomal RNA, 497 nt
Filed under: uncultured bacterium
Lineage: Bacteria
Description: partial 16S ribosomal RNA
Rfam family: Bacterial small subunit ribosomal RNA
Source: RNAcentral